CCUACGGGGUGCAGCAGUGGGGAAUAUUGGGCAAUGGACGCAAGUCUGACCCAGCAACGCCGCGUGAAGGAUGACUGCCCUAUGGGUUGUAAAUUUCUUUUAUAUGGGAAUAAAAUGUUCCACGUGUGGGCUUUUGUAUGUACCAUAUGAAUAAGGAUCGGCUAACUCCGUGCCAGCCGCCGCGGUAAUACGGAGGAUCCGAUCGUUAUCCGGAUUUAUUGGGUUUAAAGGGAGCGUAGGUGGAUGGGUAGGUCAGUUGUGAAAGUUUGCGGCUCAACCGGAAAAUUGCAGGUGAAACUGGCAGUCUUGAGUACAGUAGAGGUGGGCGGAAUUCGUGGUGUAGCGGUGAAAUGCUUAGAGAUCACGAAGAACUCCGAUGGCGAAGGCAGCUCACUGGACUGCAACUGACGCUGAGGCGCGAAAGUGUGGGUAUCAAACAGGAUUAGAUACCCUAGUAGUC
This 460-nucleotide ribosomal RNA is filed under the name uncultured bacterium. RNAcentral's name for it is "partial 16S ribosomal RNA". It matches the Rfam family "Bacterial small subunit ribosomal RNA", at positions 338 to 795 of the family's 1533-position model. The record is from RNAcentral.